Molecule: ribosomal RNA, 405 nt
Filed under: uncultured bacterium
Lineage: Bacteria
Description: partial 16S ribosomal RNA
Rfam family: Bacterial small subunit ribosomal RNA
Source: RNAcentral
AUUGAACGCUGGCGGCAGGCCUAACACAUGCAAGUCGAGCGAGCGGCGGACGGGUGAGUAAUGUCUGGGAAACUGCCUGAUGGAGGGGGAUAACUACUGGAAACGGUAGCUAAUACCGCAUACCAUCAGAUGUGCCCGGAUGGGUUUAGCUGGUGGGUGGGGUAACGGCCCACCUAGGCGCCGAUCCCUGGCUGGUCUGAGAGGAUGACCAGCCAAACGGGAACUGAGACCGGGUCAAGACCCCUACGGGAGGCAACAGGGGGAAUAUUGCACAAUGGGCGCAAGCCUGAUGCAGCCAUGCUGCGUGUGUGAAGAAGGCCUUCGGGUUGUAAAGCACUUUCAGCGGGGAGGCGUUACCCGCAGAAGAAGCACCAGCUAACUCCGUGCCAGCAGUCGCGGUAAUUC